UACAGAGGGUGCAAGCGUUAAUCGGAAUUACUGGGCGUAAAGCGUGCGUAGACGGUUAUGUAAGUCAGGUGUGAAAGCCCCCGGGCUCAACCUGGGAAUGGCAUUUGAGACUGCAUAGCUAGGGUGCGGAAGAGGGAAGCGGAAUUUCCGGUGUAGCGGUGAAAUGCGUAGAUAUCGGAAGGAACAUCAGUGGCGAAAGCGGCUUCCUGGUCCAGCACCGACGUUCAGGCACGAAAGCGUAGGGAGCAAACAGG
This 254-nucleotide ribosomal RNA is filed under the name uncultured bacterium. RNAcentral's name for it is "partial 16S ribosomal RNA". It matches the Rfam family "Bacterial small subunit ribosomal RNA", at positions 524 to 776 of the family's 1533-position model. The record is from RNAcentral.